This 74-nucleotide transfer RNA is filed under the name Chloroflexota bacterium. RNAcentral describes it as "Chloroflexi bacterium (groundwater metagenome) tRNA-Val". It matches the Rfam family "tRNA". Rfam says of the family: Transfer RNA (tRNA) molecules are approximately 80 nucleotides in length. Lineage: Bacteria; Bacillati; Chloroflexota. The record is from RNAcentral.
GGGCAGUUAGCUCAGUUGGUUAGAGCGCUUGGUUCACAUCCAAGAGGUCAUAGGUUCGAAUCCUGUACUGCCCA